This 628-nucleotide ribosomal RNA is filed under the name uncultured organism. RNAcentral's name for it is "bacterial SSU rRNA". It matches the Rfam family "Bacterial small subunit ribosomal RNA", at positions 871 to 1510 of the family's 1533-position model. The record is from RNAcentral.
GCCUGGGGAGUGUGCGACCAAGAGUUAAAUCUGACGAGUAGACAGGACGCCGCACACGCAGUGGAGUUCGUGGUGUAUAUUGAUACUAUACGAGGAACACAACUUGGGUUUGACAUUUAAGAGGUACUGAAGGGAAAACGGAGCGAUCAUUCGAGGAGCCUAAACAGGUGGUACAUGGCUGUUCUCAUCUCGUGCUGUGAGGUCUCGGGCAAUCUCAAGUCAAGAGCAAAACUCUUCACUUGCGUCCAACGGGUCAGAGGGGGCAGUCUGGGGUAAGCGCCGGGGAAAAGGGGGGGAAAUGUAGUGAGCACGGCAAGUCUAUACCGGGCUUCACACCCGGUAUACAGGCCAGUACAAAGGGUAGGGAAAAAGGGAGGCGGCGCGAAUACCAGCAAAUAAGGUUGUAAUUCGGUCUGCAGGUUGCAACCCGUCUGUCGGAAGACUUAGUUGAGAGUAAUUGGCUCUCAGCCAUAGUGCGGUGAAUACGUUCCCGGGGUUUGUACACACCGCCCGUCACGUCAUGGGAGUCGCUAAGACCCGAAGCCGGUGGCCUAGCUCUGAAGAGAGGGCGCUGCCUAGGGUAAGAUUGGUAACUGGACGAAGUCGUAACAAGGUAACCAAGGGCGAA